This 858-nucleotide ribosomal RNA is filed under the name Isurus oxyrinchus (shortfin mako shark). RNAcentral describes it as "partial 16S ribosomal RNA". The stretch from base 180 to 858 matches the Rfam family "Bacterial large subunit ribosomal RNA", at positions 568 to 1682 of the family's 2925-position model. The record is from RNAcentral. Lineage: Eukaryota; Metazoa; Chordata; Chondrichthyes; Lamniformes; Lamnidae.
UUAAAGCUAGCCUGUCCACCUACCUCAAAUUCAACAUUAUUAACUACCUUGCCCAUUAAUUCCUAACUAAAACAUUUUAUCAUUUUAGUAUGGGCGACAGAACAAAAACUCAGCGCAAUAGACUAUGUACCGCAAGGGAGAGCUGAAAGAGAAAUGAAACAAAUAAUUAAAGUAGUAAAAAGCAGAGAUUAUAUCUCGUACCUUUUGCAUCAUGAUUUAGCUAGAAAAACUAGACAAAGAGAUCUUUAGCCUAUCUUCCCGAAACUAAACGAGCUACUCCGAAGCAGCACAAUUUAGAGCCAACCCGUCUCUGUGGCAAAAGAGUGGGAAGACUUCCGAGUAGCGGUGACAAGCCUAUCGAGUUUAGUGAUAGCUGGUUGUCCAAGAAAAGAACUUCAGUUCUGCAUUAAUUCUUUCAUCACCAAGAAGUCUACCAUAUUAAGGCCAAAUAUAAGAAUUAAUAGUUAUUCAGAAGAGGUACAGCCCUUCUGAACCAAGAUACAACUUUUAAAGGAGGGAAAUGAUCAUAUUUAUUAAGGUUCUCACCUCAGUGGGCCCAAAAGCAGCCACCUGUAAAGUAAGCGUCACAGCUCCAGUUUAACAAAAACCUAUAAUCUAGAUAUUCUUCUCAACGCCCCCUUAUCAAUAUUGGACUAUUUUAUAAAGUUAUAAAAGAACUUAUGCUAAAAUGAGUAAUAGGAGGAUAAACCUCUCCCGACAUAAGUGUACGUCAGAAAGAAUUAAUUCCCUGACAAUUAAACGAACCCAGACUGAGGUUAUUAUACCCUAUUUUACCUUAACUAGAAAACCCUAUUACAAACAUUCGUUAACCCUACACAGGCAUGUCUUAAGGAAAGA